Molecule: long non-coding RNA, 2063 nt
Filed under: Triticum aestivum (bread wheat)
Lineage: Eukaryota; Viridiplantae; Streptophyta; Magnoliopsida; Poales; Poaceae
Description: long non-coding RNA (TAES_LNC014892)
Source: RNAcentral
CCUUCUGUAUUUCCGGCAUAUGAGCCCUUAUGACUGCCCAGAUGCAUGUGAUUUCUUGGAGUGUCAAGAAACUACAGGGCAAGUUCCCUACACCUUACAACCUACACUAGGGGUUGGGGCGCCACCUGGUGGCGCCUCUUGAGAGGAAGUUUGUGCGGUGCCAGAUUGACGAGCAACCUUUUCAUCUCUUUUUUUCCAAAUUGAUGAACAUGCACAUAUAAGCAAGGAACUUGCAAUAGAAUCUACACCUGAUAACCAAACAAACAACCUUUGAACAAACAACAAUAUUUUAGAGACCUUGAUCCCAUUGGGUGGUGGAUUAUUCCCAACCAUAUUAAACACUAUAUCGUAUGAAUAACUACAGAAAAUUGUGAAACCAAUCUGGCAUAUAACUAACUGUACGCAUAAGUGGCUAGCAGGUUUAAGCUCGGCCAAGAGUGGAAGUUUAUGAUGACGGAGCAGUUGUUGUCUUUGCUCCUCCUGUUCACUGACUCAAGCUCUGAUAGCAGCGGAUGUUUACAGCGACGCAAGAGAUGUUGUCUUUGCUCCUCCUAUUCACCAGUUGCUCCAUCAGAUGCUCCGCAGCUGCCUGUCCGCCCCUCUAGUGUCAUUGAUCUCCGCAUCUUUUUCCUAGAGCUUACAGAAUGGAUAGUAACAGAAAGAGCUAACACAGAUGUACUGAAGAGGCAACAUUGUACUGCAAUAAAUCAAUAGUUCUCAUCAGAACAGCGCGUACUUUUCAACGAUCAUCUGGUCCUUCACAUUGUUGGCCGACCGGCAUGACAGCUGAGACUUCUGGCAGGCUGACGAUCAGGAGAAUCAACACGAGGCAUAUGGGUAUGCGGCUGCUUCGGGCACUGGAAGAAGAGGCCAUUGUUGAGUGUCGAUGAGGAGAGUGACUGCAAUUAAAAUCUGAAUUGUAUGAUGCAUGAUUACCCAAAUCGACAUGAAGUAAAUACAAUAAGAAAUAUAAAAUUACAGGAAAGAAAUAGUUUGUGGAAAAUCAAAAUGAGAAUUAAAAGCAGAAGAUUUACACAUGACGAUGACCCAUUUUAAUUAAGUUGUAUAAACAGCAACAUUAACAUCAGAGUAGGCUAGAAAUAUAAAUUUAUCAUACAUUGGCACAACUUCUGUUGCUUGAAAUCAGUGCUGGAGAAACAGUCGUAUGUGUCAUAGAAAGACGCAUUAUCAAGGGCAACUUGGCGAUGUAUUCAUCUUCUGAACCACAGCAAGAAGGUUUUCUAAAAAAAUCAUAGUAAGAAGGCAAGUCACUGUCACUGAUUCUAAGUGGUAGUGAGCAAGCGAGUUGCAUGGAAGGUGAAAUGUUCAAGGCCAAUAGCCACGGAUGUGCUUGUGAUAUGACUUCCAAGAGCGAAUGAAAACACUACAACCUAACUAUUAGUUUACAGCAAAGGGAAAGCAUACAUGAUAUAAGGAAGCCAAACAUUACAUAUGUACCAUUCUAAAAUAAGCUGUAUUUGAUGCCAUGAAUGAGAUAUCGCCUAUUAUGGCAAUAUAAAUUGAUAGAUUUUGCCUACUCGAAAGACUUACUUAAGUGUCACAGUAAGUAAUAAUUAACCAAAAUGUUUUUAGUAUCUCAACAAUAAGAAUAUUAUAUAAGUAUACUUCCGUCAAAAAACUAUAUGUUUACUUUCUCACAAAAAUAACUAUAUGUUAACGAAUAUAGUCUACUAACUGAGACAACUUCGUGCAACAAUCCAUUUCUACAGAUGUAUAAGGUGAAUUGUGUUUUUGUAGGCUGCUACAAAUAGUAUGUGCCCUUGCAAAUUAAUUGGUGGUGAAAAAUUCUGAUGCGAAGACAUAUCCGAGCCAAAGCAAAGAGCCAAAGAAGAGAGAUAUCUGAACGGAGUAAGACUCAGCCAACAUACUGUAUCUGAAUCGAGUAAGAGUCAGCGAACAUAUUGCAAGAAGUUAAAAUAACUGGAAAAUACCUGAGCAGGUAUUUGUGCAUUUUGAUCUUGCCUACACACAUUAGGGUGGCUGGUAAGCAAUGUGUUCAAGCAAUCACUAAGAAAAUUUAACUCACUAUCAGUAACUUCAAG